This 460-nucleotide ribosomal RNA is filed under the name uncultured bacterium. Its description in RNAcentral is "partial 16S ribosomal RNA". It matches the Rfam family "Bacterial small subunit ribosomal RNA", at positions 338 to 795 of the family's 1533-position model. The record is from RNAcentral.
CCUACGGGUGGCUGCAGUGAGGAAUAUUGGUCAAUGGACGCAAGUCUGAACCAGCCAUGCCGCGUGCAGGAAGACGGCUCUAUGAGUUGUAAACUGCUUUUGUACGAGGGCAAACGCAGAUACGUGUAUCCGUCUGAAAGUAUCGGACGAACAAGGAUCGGCUAACUCCGUGCCAGCAGCCGAGGUAAGACGGAGGAUUCAAGCGUUAUCCGGAUGUAUUGGGUUUAAAGGGUGCGUAGGCGGUCGGAUAAGUUAGAGGUGAAAUCCCGAGGCUCAACUUCGGGAUUGCCUCUGAUACUGGUCGGCUAGAGAGUAGUAGCGGUAGGCGGAAUGUAUGGUGUAGCGGUGAAAUGCUUAGAGAUCGUACAGAACACCGAUUGCGAAGGCAGCUUACCGAGCUACUUCUGACGUUGAGGCACGAAGGCGUGGGGAGCGAACAGGAUUAGAUACCCUUGUAGUC